ACUUUAAAUGGGUAAGAACCUUAACUUUCUUGAUAUGAAGUUUAAGGUUAUGAUAUAAUGUGCCCAGUGGGCCACUUUUGGUAAGCAGAACUGGCGCUGUGGGAUGAACCAAACGUAAUGUUACGGUGCCCAAAUUAACAACUCAUGCAGAAACCAUGAAAGGCGUUGGUUGCUUAAAACAGCAGGACGGUGAUCAUGGAAGUCGAAAUCCGCUAAGGAGUGUGUAACAACUCACCUGCCGAAGCAACUAGCCCUUAAAAUGGAUGGCGCUUAAGUUGUAUACCUAUACAUUACCGCUAAAGUAGAUGAUUUAUAUUACUUGUGAUAUAAAUUUUGAAACUUUAGUGAGUAGGAAGGUACAAUGGUAUGCGUAGAAGUGUUUGGCGUAAGCCUUCAUGGAGCUGCCAUUGGCACAGAUCUUGGUGGUAGUAGCAAAUAAUCGAAUGAGACCUUGGAGGACUGAAGUGGAGAAGGGUUUCGUGUGAACAGUGGUUGAUCACGAGUUAGUCGGUCCUAAGUUCAAGGCGAAAGCCGAAAAUUUUCAAGUAAAAAAUCAGUGAGUAAUAUUGUCAAAUCUUUUAUGAUUUUUAAAUACUUGAAUAAUUUUGAACGAAAGGGAAUACGGUUCCAAUUCCGUAACCUGUUGAGUAUCCGUUUGUUAUUAAAUAUGGGCCUCGUGCUCAUCCUGGCAACAGGAACGACCAUAAAGAAGCCGUCGAGAGAUAUCGGAAGAGUUUUCUUUUCUGUUUUAUAGCCGUACUACCAUGGAAGUCUUUCGCAGAGAGAUAUGGUAGAUGGGCUAGAAGAGCAUGACAUAUACUGUUGUGUCGAUAUUUUCUCCUCGGACCUUGAAAAUUUAUGGUGGGGACACGCAAACUUCUCAACAGGCCGUACCAAUAUCCGCAGCUGGUCUCCAAGGUGAAGAGUCUCUAGUCGAUAGAAUAAUGUAGGUAAGGGAAGUCGGCAAAUUAGAUCCGUAACUUCGGGAUAAGGAUUGGCUCUGAAGAUUGAGAUAGUCGGGCUUGAUUGGGAAACAAUAACAUGGUUUAUGUGCUCGUUCUGGUAAAUAGAGUUUCUAUCAUUUAUGGUAGUUACUUGUUCCCCGGAUAGUUUAGUUACGUAGCCAAUUGUGGAACUUUCUUGCUAAAAUUUUUAAGAAUACUAAUUGGGUUAAACCAGUUAGUUCUUAUUAAUUAUAACGAUUAUCAAUUAACAAUCAAUUCAGAACUGGCACGGACUUGGGGAAUCCGACUGUCUAAUUAAAACAAAGCAUUGUGAUGGCCCUAGCGGGUGUUGACACAAUGUGAUUUCUGCCCAGUGCUCUGAAUGUCAAAGUGAAGAAAUUCAAGUAAGCGCGGGUCAACGGCGGAGUAACUAUGACUCUCUUAAGGUAGCCAAAUGCCUCGUCAUCUAAUUAGUGACGCGCAUGAAUGGAUUAACGAGAUUCCUACUGUCCCUAUCUACUGUGCAGUUCCAAGGCUGCACAUUGAGGUCGGCCCCCUAGUGGGAGUAUCGUGGUGGCUGUGGUUGAUACCCAAACGUUACGCGGGAGAGCCGCUAGGCUCCUCGUGGAGUUGCGCUCUCAACCGGGUGCCGAGACCCAUAGAUCGGAAGACGUGUUAGAUACACCUCGCCCUCACCAAGGGGGAUUGUAUGCCCGACCAGGAUACUUUCAAUUGGUACCAGAAGAGUCGCUAUGUACAUAGCUAUAGCUUCUUUUUAGGGGCGUUAACUGGCGCAUUGUACCAGGUUCCUGCGUAUGUAGCGGUGGUGCGUGAUGGCGUGAUAUAUGUAAAUAUAUCGCACUAAUCGAGGCUAAGCUGCAGAUAAACAUUAGACGCCGUGGUUGAAAUCCCUCCCUGAGGAACCGCCACGUAAAAUAAAGCUGAGAGAUCAGAUUCAUUCUGUCCCUAUCUACUAUCUAGCGAAACCACAGCCAAGGGAACGGGCUUGGAAUAAUUAGCGGGGAAAGAAGACCCUUUUGAGCUUGACUCUAAUCUGGCAGUGUAAGGAGACAUAAGAGGUGUAGCAUAAGUGGGAGAUAUUAGAUUUCGGUUUGGUAUCGACAAUGAAAUACCACUACUCUUAUUGUUUCCUUACUUACUUGAUUAAAUGGAACGUGUAUCAUUUCCUAGCCAUUAUACGGAUAUAUUUAUUAUAUCUUAUGGUAUUGGGUUUUGAUGCAAGCUUCUUGAUCAAAGUAUCACGAGUUUGUUAUAUAAUCGCAAACAAAUUCUUUAAUGAGAAAAUGCAUUUAUGUAUUUUCAAUUUGAAAAUUUGGUAUAACUCCAA
Molecule: ribosomal RNA, 2292 nt
Filed under: Drosophila pseudoobscura pseudoobscura
Lineage: Eukaryota; Metazoa; Arthropoda; Insecta; Diptera; Drosophilidae
Description: eukaryotic LSU rRNA
Rfam family: Eukaryotic large subunit ribosomal RNA
Source: RNAcentral